GCCGCGGUGGCGGAAUUGGCAGACGCGCAUGACUUAGGAUCAUGUUCCGAAAGGAAUGGGGGUUCAAGUCCCUCCCGCGGCA
This 82-nucleotide transfer RNA is filed under the name Candidatus Omnitrophota bacterium. RNAcentral's name for it is "Candidatus Omnitrophica bacterium (sediment metagenome) tRNA-Leu". It matches the Rfam family "tRNA". Rfam says of the family: Transfer RNA (tRNA) molecules are approximately 80 nucleotides in length. Their secondary structure includes four short double-helical elements and three loops (D, anti-codon, and T loops). The record is from RNAcentral. Lineage: Bacteria; Pseudomonadati; Candidatus Omnitrophota.